This 20-nucleotide microRNA is filed under the name Canis lupus familiaris (dog). RNAcentral's name for it is "cfa-miR-631". Its record names the gene cfa-miR-631. Lineage: Eukaryota; Metazoa; Chordata; Mammalia; Carnivora; Canidae. The record is from miRBase by way of RNAcentral.
GACCUGGCCCAGACCUCAGC